AUGGGGCGCGGCCGUCCCAAGAGGCGCCCUCCGAAGCCCUUCGAAUCGUCGGAGGACGAGGCGUUCCUGAUGCCGAUCGGCGCGGCGGUGGAGGUGCGCAGAGACGACCCCGGCUUCGCCGGCUCCUUCUACGAGGCCACCGUUGCCAGUCACCUGCUCUCCGACGGCGGCCACAGGCGCUACACGGUGGCCUACUCCACGCUCCUGGGCGAGGAGGCUGAGCCGCUCAGGGAGACCGCGGCCACCGCCAACGUGCGGCCGCGGCCACCGCCUGAGGAAAGGGAGUUCGUGAUUCACGAGAUGGUGGAGGCGUUCAACAGCGACGGGUGGUGGGCCGGCGUAGUCGCCGCCGUUGUCCCGCCAACGGUGACAGGAGAUCGCCGGCGGAGGGCGUACAGGGUCACGUUCCCCACGUUGCGGGAGACGCUGCAGUUCGAGGAGAGGGAUAUGCGGCCGCACCGCGUGUUCCAGGGUGGGCGGUGGGUCCCGGCUGCAGAGGUGGGCAAGGGAAGUCCUUUGUUCAGUGAGGGGCAUCAAGUUGAAGUGAGUCAUUUUGCAAGAAACUUUAGUGGAUCCUGGAAUCCAGCUACUGUUCUUAAAGUGAUUGGUGCUACACAUUUUCUAGUACAGUACAUGCAUAUUGGAAAGGAUGAUGAACCGGCCACUGAGAUUCUAGAUUCACAAUAUAUUCGGCCAUCACGCGACAUCACCAAUAUGGAUUCUAGGUACAGAUUUUCUCCUGCAUCUCAUGUUGAGGUCCUUCAUGAAGGUGGCUGGUGGCCUGCUAUUAUUGUGAAGGUUUUAGGUUCUGAAAUCAACAAGUAUGUAGUGAACUUGAAGAAUCCCAAGACAGACAUGGAUGACGUGGAACCUGUGGAUGUUCUGACGGUGGAAAGUACGCAGCUACGGCCACGGUUUGACUGGGACGGUAAAAACUGGGUACGCUGCUUGAAAAAGCCUUCGCUCCAAAAUUAUGUCCAUGAGAUGCAUCCAUUCCAGAAACCUUCUAAUGGUCCUCAAUUAACUUCUCGAAAAAGAGCAAUUCCCGCCUUCUAUGAUGACUUGGAUAAAGUCAGUAAUAAACCUGGUUCUCGUCAUGACAAAAAGUUGAAGGAUGAAGAUGUGACAUCAGAACAAAUUUUUCCUGUUUUGUCCAUUCGUAAUGAAAACAAUGAAAUUAUUCAUAAGCAAGGAACAGCAUUGGCAUUGAGGUCUGGGUUGUCCCUUCCUUCACUUCCACAAGUGGCGGCAUUUGGCUCUCUGAGUUCAUCUACACUUGCUCCAAGCUGUCAUCUUGAACAAUCAUCUUCUGAGAUGAUUAUUGUACCCUCUAUGGCACAAAGUCGACAGAUUCAGGCAUCUCUAUUUGGAGGUUUUGGUGAACCAAGACCUGUCCCACAGGGCCCACUAUUAGGAACGCGGUCACUUGGCUCAGAUUUUCGCAUCAUUGAAGGGUCAAAAAAUGCAUUAAGUGGUCAGGGUAACCAAUCAACUGUUGGAACUGGGACUGAACUGUCCAGGCAAAUGGAGAAAUGUGUUUCUUCUCAAACAACAGUGGCUCUAGGGGAGAACCCUGAAACUAUACAGCCAAUGAAAGGGAUAGCUGCUCCUGCUAAAGCUACUGAGGAAGACAUGUCUGAACUGCCUAAUGAUUUGACUGCUGGGUGUGAAACACUUCCAGAAAUGGAUGAGCUGAGUUGUAUUGACCCGACAUCACGAAAGGACAUCGGAGGUUCACAAGCAGGUGGAAGAGAUGAUCUUGAGCAAGGGGGCUACACAGGUGAAGCACAUGAUUCUUGCUGUCCCUUGUCGGAAUCAGCAGCUGUGCAUGAGAGUAUCAUGGACACGAAUGGCCGGAUUUCAGAACCCUUGGCAAGCCAGCAUCUUCCAUUUGUGAAGACCUCCCCAAUGUGGGCACACCUUGAGGGACUGGAAAUAUUCAGGAAAGCACCACAGCGACCAAAUUUCCAUCAGUUCGAGCAGCAUGGUCAAGAGGUCUGUGAAGGACUGGCAUUAGGUUUGAUGUUCUCUUUUGCUAUUUUAGCAGAGAGCAUAAACAGUCUGAAUGCUCUGGACGAUAGUAGACUACUCGAGCAGAAGAUGACGGGCCUUGCUUUGCUUGAGGCAGAUGGUUUUGAUGUCAAGGACCUGAGAGCACGCGUGGAAACAAUGCUCCAUGCAAAUAAUAGUUGCGCUGAACUACAGGAUUCCAUCAGAAAGCUGGAGGAGAAGAUUGCUCACAAAGAAACCAAGGACCGAGAACUUGGCACGCAAGUUCGGUCGCUGGCUAUGGCUGUCCAUCAUCACGAUCUACAUGCCUAUCUGAUGCGCAUCGUCAUGCGGUCUGCCAUCACGCAGAAGAUGAACAAUGCUAUGGAGAUCUCAAGGCUCAAGACAGAAGCGAACAAGCUUAAGAGAUCGUGUCUAUCCAACACCAUCGUCGUGCCACGGUGA
This 2454-nucleotide ribosomal RNA is filed under the name Triticum aestivum (bread wheat). RNAcentral's name for it is "partial small subunit ribosomal RNA". Lineage: Eukaryota; Viridiplantae; Streptophyta; Magnoliopsida; Poales; Poaceae. The record is from RNAcentral.